Molecule: long non-coding RNA, 990 nt
Organism: Piliocolobus tephrosceles (Ugandan red Colobus)
Lineage: Eukaryota; Metazoa; Chordata; Mammalia; Primates; Cercopithecidae
Exons: 2
Source: RefSeq, a predicted model, not a curated record
AGAAGUGGGAGGAGGAGGCAGGGAAAGCGGGGGCUGCGGGAGGUAGUUGCGGCGCAGGUUCCCGGGAGCAGCCGUCGAGCCGCAACUGCGGAGGAGGAGUUCGGGAAAGCGGCAGUCGGGACCCCUCCCCUCAGUCGUCUCCGCCCCGGUUGAGAGGCGCCUCGGCGCAUCGGAGGGACCCUCCCCCGCGCUUCCUCAGGCUGCUGUCGCCGCUGCUGGGAGAUGGGCCUACUCGCCCGCCGCUCUGCGCUGCACCCUCUCUGAGGAGUUAAAGAUGAAAGUUGAAGGAAUUCAUUGCUAGGAGACCUGCAUAACAAAAAAUGCUAAUGGAAGUUCUUGAGGCUGAAGAUACAUGACACCAGGUGAAAAGUGGAUCCACAAGAACAGGGCUCCCCAACCCUUGGGCCACGGUGUGUGGCCUGUUAGGAACUGGGCCACGCAGCAGGAGGCAAGCAGCCAUGAGCAUUAUUGUCUGAGCUCUGCUUCCUGUCAGAUCAGUGGCAGCAUUCAUUUCUCAUAGGAGUAUUGUGAACUGCACUCGAGGGAUCUAGGUCACACACUCCUUAUGAAAAUAUAAUGCCUGAUGAAACCAUCCCCGCUCCCACUCCCCACCUCCAUCUGUGGAAAAAUUGUCUUCUGUGAAAUUGGUCCUGGUGCCAAAAAGUCUGGGCACCGUUGCACAAGGAAGAAUGAAAAAUACCAGAAAGUAAAUAUGUAACAAUUAGGUUUCAUCCUCCAAAAGAAGACUUUGUAAGCCUAUAGAGCAAUGGAAAAAUUUAUAAAAGACCAUGUUAGAUGUUACUAAAUUAAAAACUUAGAUAACUGUACUUCAAAACAUCACAAAAUUGAAGGACAACUGUUUAGAGAAAGUAAAUAUUGUUUAAAAUCAAAGAGGAGCAUUAAUAUUCCAGUGUAAAAAUGGGCAUAAAAUGUUAACAAAUAAAACAUAGAAGUAGGGAAGAGGACAGUGCAUGUGAACAAAUGUUUAAA